RNAcentral lists this long non-coding RNA (1562 nucleotides) under Mus musculus (house mouse). Its description in RNAcentral is "RIKEN cDNA 1600022D10 gene". Lineage: Eukaryota; Metazoa; Chordata; Mammalia; Rodentia; Muridae. The record is from RNAcentral.
AUGACGAUGAAGAUGGAAUCUGGCAGGAUUACAGGCAUGCUCCUCUCCUCCGUCCAGUAUUGAAGUUCUGAGGCUGGAACUCAAAGUUUCAUGCACACUUCCCCAAGACAAGUGGCAUGCCUGCUGAAUUCUUGUAAAGAGGAGCGUGCAGGGAGAAAUGUGGAAGCUAAUAUUUAAAAAGUUAUCACACUGCAGAAGGACCGGCUGACGCACAUAGAACGGGAGAGACAACUGGAGCAAAAGGGGGCACUGCUUCUUGGGAGGCUUACUUGUCAGCACAUCUGUGGGAAUCUAUUUCUUCAGUCUUCCAGCUCAUACAGAAGACCAGCUGAAACAGCGACCCUUGUGGGACUGAGCAACUCCUAGACUCUUGACUUCCCAAUCACAGUUGCCCAUUGUUGGGCUGGUUGGACUGCAGACUGAGUAUAACUAAGACCCUGGGGAUUAUAAUCUAGUGUAAACAUGUGUGGCAUCUUCAUCUGGAUCCUGGAGAGUAAACCCAGGUCUUCAUGUAUGGAAGGAAACAGAAAGCAAGACAGGAAGCAGUCAGAGGUGACAUGUCUCCACGCGCUACAGUAACUUACUUCCUCGAGUUUAGUCUCAUCUCCUAAAGUUUCCAGAAUCUUCAGAAAUAGUUCAUCAUCUGAGGGCAGGGCUAGACCACUCCUCAGCAUAGUUCCAAAGAAUUCCACAUCUUACUCUAUAGAAAGCUGCUCAGCCCUCUUCACUGAUGCUCUAUUCACAAUAGCUAGGAAAUGGAAACAACCUGACUGUUCUUCUACUGAUGAAAGACUAAUGAAAACGUGCCACAGAUAGACUAUGGAAUAUUGCUCAGCUGUGAAAAUGUGCUACAGAUAAGACUAUGGAAUAUUACUCAGCUGUAAAGAAAAAAAAAUCAUGAAAAUUUCAGCAAACAGAACUGAACUUCUUCUGACCUUAUAGUAAAAUGGCUUCCAUCACUCAGAUGGAGUCAGGCUGGCCCAUCACUAGCCCCAACCAAUAUAUCUACCACAGAAAUCCUGCUCCCAAGGAUCAGGAAUCAUGUGGAAGAAGAGGAGGCAGACCGAUUGUAAGAGACAGAGGGAACAGGAAGUUUGCUAUGAGAUUUUUGUCUCAGAAAUGUCAAGGAAGCUAUACCCACGAAGCCUCAACUUGGCUGUUUCAAGACCUGAACAAGAACCAUACCAAUAGGCAUAUUAAUAUGGAAUGGAGAAUUCUUAGGGGACCCCACCCCUAGACAAAGAACUGCAGACAAUUAAGUAAUUCUGAGUGGGAGAAAUAGUCUUCUCUAGGGAAGAGACACCCCAAUUAGUUAUCCAGUACAAAAUGAUCAGUCCUGAAAUAAUAUACAUACAAUUAACAUGUAUGUGUUUAUGUUAUGAGCAGGCUGAUUUAUAUAUCUAUGAAUGUAUGUAUAAGCAAUGAAAAAAUAGAGGCCAUGAAUAUGAGCGAGAGCAAGGAAUGCAUGAGAUGGGUUGGAGGAAGGAAAAGGAAGGUGAAAUGCUGUAAUUAUAUCCUAAUUUCAAAAAUAAGAAUUAUUAAAAAUAAAAACAAAAACAAAC